AUUGAACGCUAGCGGGAUGCUUUACACAUGCAAGUCGAACGGCAGCGCGGACUUCGGUCUGGCGGCGAGUGGCGAACGGGUGAGUAAUGUAUCGGAACGUGCCCAGUAGCGGGGGAUAACUACGCGAAAGCGUAGCUAAUACCGCAUACGCCCUACGGGGGAAAGCAGGGGAUUGUAAGACCUUGCACUAUUGGAGCGGCCGAUAUCGGAUUAGCUAGUUGGUGAGGUAACGGCUUACCAAGGCGACGAUCCGUAGCUGGUUUGAGAGGACGACCAGCCACACUGGGACUGAGACACGGCCCAGACUCCUACGGGAGGCAGCAGUGGGGAAUUUUGGACAAUGGGGGCAACCCUGAUCCAGCCAUCCCGCGUGUGCGAUGAAGGCCUUCGGGUUGUAAAGCACUUUUGGCAGGAAAGAAACGUCGCGGGCUAAUACCCCGUGGAACUGACGGUACCUGCAGAAUAAGCACCGGCUAACUACGUG
Molecule: ribosomal RNA, 484 nt
Filed under: uncultured bacterium
Lineage: Bacteria
Description: partial 16S ribosomal RNA
Rfam family: Bacterial small subunit ribosomal RNA
Source: RNAcentral